AGGGGCUUCCAGACCAAGCUGCUUCGUGAGGAUGCCAGCCACAGCAUGUAUGUUCAUGGAUGUACAGAAGUGGAAGUUACCACUCCAGAAGAAGCCUUGGAGGUAAUGGUUAAGGGCCAGAGGCGCCGGAAGGUAGCCACCACACACAUUAACUUUGAGUCAUCACGUUCACACUCCAUCUUCUCUGUGAGAGUUGUUCAAAUCCCACUGGAUGCCUUUGGUGAGG
This is a long non-coding RNA of Homarus americanus (American lobster), 226 nucleotides long. RefSeq lists it as uncharacterized. Lineage: Eukaryota; Metazoa; Arthropoda; Malacostraca; Decapoda; Nephropidae. The record is from RefSeq and is a predicted model, not a curated record. The transcript is spliced from 3 exons.